This 246-nucleotide ribosomal RNA is filed under the name uncultured Lactobacillus sp. RNAcentral's name for it is "partial 16S ribosomal RNA". It matches the Rfam family "Bacterial small subunit ribosomal RNA", at positions 116 to 354 of the family's 1533-position model. Lineage: Bacteria; Bacillati; Bacillota; Bacilli; Lactobacillales; Lactobacillaceae. The record is from RNAcentral.
CGUGGGUAACCUGCCCAAGAGAUCGGGAUAACACCUGGAAACAGAUGCUAAUACCGGAUAACAACAGAUGAUGCCUAUCAACUGUUUAAAAGAUGGUUCUGCUAUCACUCUUGGAUGGACCUGCGGUGCAUUGGCUAGUUGGUAGGGUAACGGCCUACCAAGGCGAUGAUGCAUAGCCGAGUUGAGAGACUGAUCGGCCACAUUGGGACUGAUACACGGCCCAAAUUCCUACGGGAGGCAGCAGGG